RNAcentral lists this ribosomal RNA (465 nucleotides) under Vreelandella stevensii. RNAcentral describes it as "partial 16S ribosomal RNA". It matches the Rfam family "Bacterial small subunit ribosomal RNA", at positions 338 to 795 of the family's 1533-position model. The record is from RNAcentral. Lineage: Bacteria; Pseudomonadati; Pseudomonadota; Gammaproteobacteria; Oceanospirillales; Halomonadaceae.
CCUACGGGUGGCAGCAGUGGGGAAUAUUGGACAAUGGGCGAAAGCCUGAUCCAGCCAUGCCGCGUGUGUGAAGAAGGCCUUCGGGUUGUAAAGCACUUUCAGUGGGGAAGAAAGCCUUGGGGCUAAUACCCUCGAGGAAGGACAUCACCCACAGAAGAAGCACCGGCUAACUCCGUGCCAGCAGCCGCGGUAAUACGGAGGGUGCGAGCGUUAAUCGGAAUUACUGGGCGUAAAGCGCGCGUAGGCGGUCUGAUAAGCCGGUUGUGAAAGCCCCGGGCUUAACCUGGGAACGGCAUCCGGAACUGUCAGGCUAGAGUGCAGGAGAGGAAGGUAGAAUUCCCGGUGUAGCGGUGAAAUGCGUAGAGAUCGGGAGGAAUACCAGUGGCGAAGGCGGCCUUCUGGACUGACACUGACGCUGAGGUGCGAAAGCGUGGGUAGCAAACAGGAUUAGAUACCCGAGUAGUC